This 1003-nucleotide long non-coding RNA is filed under the name Felis catus (domestic cat). RNAcentral's name for it is "lncRNA (ENSFCAG00000048457.1)". Lineage: Eukaryota; Metazoa; Chordata; Mammalia; Carnivora; Felidae. The record is from RNAcentral.
GGCAAUGCUCUCUACCGUAUUGUACUCUAUAUUUAUCAUGGUUUCCCCUGUGCCUCUCAUUAGCCUGGCCAAGCAAUGACACCAGUAUUUGAGUGAACCCAUGUUAUUAAAACUGACUGGGAUCAGAAGCACUGAGCUGCCCAAGGAAAGCAGUCAGGCCUCCUGGCUGGGUUCCCCACUAGGCAGGUGCUGGAUGUGGUAAGACCCGUAGGCAUUGGAUAGGAAGAAGGAGAUUGCAUGCCUAGAGCAAGGAUGGACCACUAAUAAACCUAUAACAGGCUAUGGUGACAGGAAUUCCUCACAGUCAAGCUGGUGAUUUGGGGUAAUCUGUGACAAGAGGACAUUCUCAUGCUUGGCAUGAAACGUGUAUGGUAGGUAAACAAGCUUAUAAGGCACAGAUAUGAAGCCGAGUCCAGUCGCCUAAAUAGGGUUGGAAGAGUAACCUUUGCAAGCACUAACACCUCUGUGAUAUUUACUUAUGCUAUUAUGAUGUCAUCAUUAUACUUCUCUGCACAGGGAUAUUGAGACCUGACCCUAACCCUUGGGCUGAACUAGCUAAAGUGUUACUUCAAGUGAAUAAUGACCAGGAACUUUAUAUCCCUGUCUCUCCCAGGAGACUUCAAAGGGGUAGCUGCUCUGCUGAAUGGCCCAAACCAUAAGAUUCGUCCUAGGCCUUGCUUGUGACUGCUUGCCACAGGAGGCUACCCAGAGAGGAGGAUUUCCUGAUUCGCUCCUCAGAGGACGGGAGGGAUUUUACUGCUGACAAUCGGACUGACUUUGGGCUUUGACCUAAAGGGCAAUGGCUUUGGCCUAUCAACUAAGGAAGCAACCUCAUUGGAACUACCAGAAACCCAAAGGAAAGCCACGCCUGUUCUUCAAGGGGAAAACAGAUGAUAAAUGACAUGAUGCACUUUCUCCCACAACCAUUGUCUUUUUUUCCCUUGAGUAAUUUUUCAGAUAUAGGCGGUCCCCAAUUUGUAAGUUCACAAAGUUCAUCUGUCAG